GGCGGGACACGUGGUAUCCUGUCUGAAUAUGGGGGGACCAUCCUCCAAGGCUAAAUACUCCUGACUGACCGAUAGUGAACCAGUACCGUGAGGGAAAGGCGAAAAGAACCCCGGCGAGGGGAGUGAAAAAGAACCUGAAACCGUGUACGUACAAGCAGUGGGAGCACAGGUUUACCUGUGUGACUGCGUACCUUUUGUAUAAUGGGUCAGCGACUUAUAUUCUGUAGCAAG
Molecule: ribosomal RNA, 231 nt
Filed under: Salmonella enterica
Lineage: Bacteria; Pseudomonadati; Pseudomonadota; Gammaproteobacteria; Enterobacterales; Enterobacteriaceae
Also listed under: 2 other names
Description: partial 23S ribosomal RNA
Rfam family: Bacterial large subunit ribosomal RNA
Source: RNAcentral